This 448-nucleotide ribosomal RNA is filed under the name uncultured bacterium. RNAcentral's name for it is "bacterial SSU rRNA". It matches the Rfam family "Bacterial small subunit ribosomal RNA", at positions 29 to 507 of the family's 1533-position model. The record is from RNAcentral.
AACGAACGCUGGCGGCAUGCCUAACACAUGCAAGUCGAACGGUAACAGCGGAGCUUGCUCCGGCUGACGAGUGGCGCACGGGUGAGUAACGCGUGGGAACCUGCCCUGGAGUGGGGAACAACCGCUGGAAACGGCGGCUAAUACCGCAUACGCCCCUUGGGGGAAAGCUUUAUGCGCUCUAGGAUGGGCCCGCGUCGGAUUAGCUUGUUGGUAGGGUAAUGGCCUACCAAGGCGAUGAUCCGUAGCUGGUCUGAGAGGAUGAUCAGCCACACUGGGACUGAGACACGGCCCAGACUCCUACGGGAGGCAGCAGUGGGGAAUAUUGGACAAUGGGGGCAACCCUGAUCCAGCAAUGCCGCGUGUGUGAAGAAGGCCCUCGGGUUGUAAAGCACUUUCACUCGUGAAGAUGAUGACGGUAGCGAGAGAAGAAGCCCCGGCUAACUCCGUG